RNAcentral lists this ribosomal RNA (467 nucleotides) under uncultured bacterium. RNAcentral describes it as "SSU rRNA". It matches the Rfam family "Bacterial small subunit ribosomal RNA", at positions 26 to 518 of the family's 1533-position model. The record is from RNAcentral.
AGGACUAACGCUGGCGGCGUGCCUAACACAUGCAAGUCGAACGAGAGUAGCAAUACUCUAGUGGCAGACGGGUGAGUAACACGUGGUCAACCUACCUUUAAGUGGGGGAUAACUAGCCGAAAGGUUAGCUAAUACCGCAUACGAUCUUCGCGUGGCAUCACAUGAAGAUGAAAGGAGCAAUCCGCUGAAAGACGGGACCGCGUCCCAUUAGCCAGUUGGUGGGGUAACGGCCUACCAAAGCAACGAUGGGUAGCUGGCUUGAGAGAGCGACCAGCCACACUGGGACUGAGACACGGCCCAGACUCCUACGGGAGGCAGCAGUGAGGAAUUUUCCGCAAUGGGCGAAAGCCUGACGGAGCGACGCCGCGUGUGGGAUGAAGGCCUUCGGGUCGUAAACCACUGUCGAAGGGGAAGAGUAUUGACGGUACCCUUGGAGGAAGCCCGGCUAACUACGCGCCAGCAGCCGC